RNAcentral lists this ribosomal RNA (499 nucleotides) under uncultured Burkholderiales bacterium. RNAcentral's name for it is "bacterial SSU rRNA". It matches the Rfam family "Bacterial small subunit ribosomal RNA", at positions 8 to 501 of the family's 1533-position model. The record is from RNAcentral. Lineage: Bacteria; Pseudomonadati; Pseudomonadota; Betaproteobacteria; Burkholderiales.
AGGCUUUGAUCCUGGCUCAGAUUGAACGCUAGCGGCAUGCCUUACACAUGCAAGUCGAACGGCAGCGGGCUCUUCGGAGCGCCGGCGAGUGGCGAACGGGUGAGUAAUACAUCGGAACGUACCCAGUAGCGGGGGAUAGCCCGGCGAAAGCCGGAUUAAUACCGCAUACGCCCUACGGGGGAAAGGGGGGGAUCGCAAGACCUCUCACUAUUGGAGCGGCCGAUGGCUGAUUAGCUAGUUGGUGGGGUAAAGGCCUACCAAGGCGACGAUCAGUAGCUGGUCUGAGAGGACGACCAGCCACACUGGGACUGAGACACGGCCCAGACUCCUACGGGAGGCAGCAGUGGGGAAUUUUGGACAAUGGGCGAAAGCCUGAUCCAGCAAUGCCGCGUGUGCGAAGAAGGCCUUCGGGUUGUAAAGCACUUUUGUCAGGAAAGAAAUUGUCUGGGCUAAUACCCCGGGCCGUUGACGGUACCUGAAUGAAUAAGCACCGGCUAAA